Molecule: ribosomal RNA, 253 nt
Filed under: uncultured bacterium
Lineage: Bacteria
Description: partial 16S ribosomal RNA
Rfam family: Bacterial small subunit ribosomal RNA
Source: RNAcentral
GACGAAGGAUGCAAGCGUUAUCCGGAUUCAUUGGGUUUAAAGGGAGCGUAGGCGGUCUUGUAAGUCAGUGGUGAAAUCUCGAGGCUUAACCUCGAAAUUGCCAUUGAUACUGCAGGACUUGAGUACAGUUGCCGUUGGCGGAAUAUGACAUGUAGUGGUGAAAUACAUAGAGAUGUCAUAGAACACCGAUUGCGAAGGCAGCUAACGAAACUGUAACUGACGCUGAGGCUCGAAAGUGUGGGGAUCAAACAGG